ACUCCUACGGGAGGCAGCAGUGGGGAAUAUUGGACAAUGGGCGAAAGCCUGAUCCAGCAAUGCCGCGUGAGUGAUGAAGGCCUUAGGGUUGUAAAGCUCUUUUACCCGGGAUGAUAAUGACRGUACCGGGAGAAUAAGCUCCGGCUAACUCCGUGCCAGCAGCCGCGGUAAUACSGAGGGAGCUAGCGUUGUUCGGAAUUACUGGGCGUAAAGCGCACGUAGGCGGCUUUGUAAGUCAGAGGUGAAAGCCUGGAGCUCAACUCCAGAACUGCCUUUGAGACUGCAUCGCUUGAAUCCAGGAGAGGUGAGUGGAAUUCCGAGUGUAGAGGUGAAAUUCGUAGAUAUUCGGAAGAACACCAGUGGCGAAGGCGGCUCACUGGACUGGUAUUGACGCUGAGGUGCGAAAGCGUGGGGAGCAAACRGGAUUAGAUACCCUGGUAGUCCACGCCGUAAACGAUGAURACUAGCUGUCCGGGCACUUGGUGCUUGGGUGGCGCAGCUAACGCAUUAAGUUAUCCGCCUGGGGAGUACGGUCGCAAGAUUAAAACUCAAAGGAAUUGACGG
Molecule: ribosomal RNA, 564 nt
Filed under: uncultured Caulobacter sp.
Lineage: Bacteria; Pseudomonadati; Pseudomonadota; Alphaproteobacteria; Caulobacterales; Caulobacteraceae
Description: bacterial SSU rRNA
Rfam family: Bacterial small subunit ribosomal RNA
Source: RNAcentral